UUACCCCAGAGGACUGAAUGUUCAUCAGCCCAUACUUUGAGAUCCGCUGCUCCAAUUCAUUUCCCUUUUUGCAGAAAAAUUCACAAGUAAUGAAUUGAUGUGAAUAAAAAGAGAAAGGGUAAAAUUCUAUUCAUUUAUCUAAGAGACCAUUUGAAGAACUGUCUGUGUUAAAAAUCAUGUGCUUUUUUUCCUGAACUAGAGAGAGGGCAGACUGUCCCUUGAUAAAGUGAAUUUCCAGUGAAACAGGAAUGCAUGUUUCAUCCCAACGCCAAAGAGCUAUGGAUUCCUCUGUGACUCUUCUAAUAUAUAUCUUUUGUGCAGAUUUCCACAUUUAGCAGAUUUCAAUAUGUAUCUGUCAUUGUGAUGCCCUGCAGAGGAACAGUUAUGAUUUCUAGAACCACAGAUCCAUGAAGAGAAAAUGUGAGAGGAAGAACACUGCAUGGAAGAGAAGAAUUGCAGGUGCGGAACAUAUUUCACAUGCAAAGAAAUAUCGGGAAAAAAAGGUCGAAUCCAUUCUUUUACCUCUGUCUCAGGAAUGAAAAGUCAAUUUUUAAUUAUAUGGGUAAGGUUGACCAGGGGCCAACUUAUCAAAAAUGCUGAGUUUAGGGUUGGAGAUUAAAUGUAAAAAGAGGUUCAAUUUAUUACUGUUUGGAAGAAAUAAACAUCCAUUUGUAAGAAAGGCUGGAAUCUGUCUGCCUCCAGCCUGCCUUCGGCCCUGAGGUAAACAGCAUGAUCUCUGGGGACAAUAAAUGAAUAGUAGGUGGAGAGCAUGAUCCAAACUUUCUGCCAUAUAUUCUGAGGUUGAUAUCAAGUGUGGGAAAUCAUGUGGCUAUCACCAUCUGCUGACACCAUCCUUUUUGGGGGCAUAGAUGUGCUCGGGUCAUAUAACAUCCU
This is a long non-coding RNA of Canis lupus familiaris (dog), 894 nucleotides long. RefSeq lists it as uncharacterized. The record is from RefSeq and is a predicted model, not a curated record. Lineage: Eukaryota; Metazoa; Chordata; Mammalia; Carnivora; Canidae. The transcript has 3 exons.